UUUCUCCUGGUGCCACUUUAUCACAGCCCGGUAUGGGGGACUGGCGAAAUCUGGCUCAAAUCAGCAGAAAGAUCACACAUGAUUGUUACUGGCAGGAUCAGAGAGCACGUCUUUUCAGUCCCACUCGUUGCUUGUGGAGACGUGAACAACGUGAUCAUCCUCAUGUUUCCUGUGUCAUACAUUUAUUUUUACACUGACGGAUCGAGAGAAGUUUUGAUCCCACAACCUCCGUCUUUCCAAAGAUGCUUGUUAAGCUGCUGAGAUAUCAGGACUCUCUGAGCUACAGCAGCUCUCACACAGAGAAUAAUCACAUCAGCUGAUCAGAGUUCAUCACAGUCGGACAUGUGAACAUCUCCAUUGUCUCUCCACGUCGUCCACAGCAGUUUGCUCUGUGGGUUGAGCGUCUAAACACGUCGCACGGUUCAGCCCAGAGGACCGUUGUCGGCGUGGAUACUCAGUUUCCCAGCAUGCCUCUCCUCCACGCUGUGCUCAGCUAACUGCUGACCCCUGCAGGUCAGGAUCUGUUACUGCGGCAGAGACCAGAGGUCGGAGCGAAGGAAAACGAGUUGAGCCUCCUCAUCGCUGUCAAGAGCUCACGGCGUGAAAAGACUGAAUCAUCUCAACUCAAAGGUCCACUUACUGGCUUCGGGAGCCUCAGAGGAAGAGUGUGAGAUGCUCGGAAAAUAAUUCAACCACAAGUUUCUAACGUGAUUUCUUCAAUGUCACCUCAAGGAUCCCAGUGAGGACUUAAAGCAGUUUUGACCACCUGUGGCACCGGUCGGUGUUUUCACGGGUGAGUUCCUGUUCUGGUUGAACUAUGACAAUGUUCUGGUGCAGGUGACGUGACUCAAAGUCACUGCCAGUGGUUUCACACUACUCCACUGAUCCACAGCUGGAGGUAACGUGUCAAGAACCACAGCAAUCCCCCUGAAAAAGUCACGAAGAAGAAGAAAGCCAGCACCUACACAAACAGUGAAGGUCUUUGUGGAAAGGUUUUACGAGGAAGGAAACACACUCAACACGUUAGUUGUUGUUAGAGAGCUUCAUAACCAGACAACAGAUGAAACACAGAAAGAAGACGACGUCACGACUGAGCAAUCAGACAUUCACCAAUCAAUAAUCAAUAACAUCUCAACUGUAAAAUCAUUCUCGAUGUGGCGACAGAAAGUAACAGCACAGAACCUUGUCCAGAAUUUAAAGGACCACAAAACAGUUUUUUUCCCUCUGGACUGAAUCCAAUGUUUUGUCCUUCAACCACAGUCUCUCAGAUGGUUCAACAGAACAAGGCUUCAGGUUUUAGACUGAUUUCCUCUCCAGUCAACUCUCAGGUGUCAGAGUGUCUUUGAAUGCAUCAACAGGGAGAUUGUUCAAACAGAUUCUGCUCUUUAAAAUAAAGUAUAUUUUAAAGCACUUUGAGCUGCAUCUUGAGCAUUAAAGGAGUUUUUUCUUAAUAACAUUUAUCAAU
Xiphias gladius (swordfish) is the source of this 1465-nucleotide long non-coding RNA. RefSeq lists it as uncharacterized. NCBI's taxonomy places the organism in Eukaryota, Metazoa, Chordata, Actinopteri, Istiophoriformes, Xiphiidae. The record is from RefSeq and is a predicted model, not a curated record. The transcript is spliced from 3 exons.